CUGUCUAGAAGCAUCAGGACAGACCUCCAGGACCCUAUCUGUAGAACACAUCCUAUAGCCCCCUUACUCACACUCUCCUCUUGGGGACCCCAACCCGUGCUCACUCUGAGUCCAUGGUACCCACAGAUGACACUGAGAGAGAGGGCCAGAGUCUCAUGCAAUUUGGUGCUAGCCUUCCCGGGACUAGGACAGAGCCAAGUCCUCCCCACCUCAGUGCUCCCAGGGACCCCACAACCUUCCCUUGCAGGGGUGUGGGGAGGUUGGAUUGGGUUUGGAGGUCAACUGUCUCCAUCAGAAGCCAUGUUGUGCCCCCUAGACUGGACGAGUAGACAAGAAUGUGCCCCUGGUGUGCGGCCACACUGCCCCUGUGCUAGACAUCGCCUGGUGUCCACACAAUGACAACGUCAUUGCCAGUGGCUCUGAGGACUGCACAGUUAUGGUAAGUCUUGUUAGGAAUGUGGGUUUGAAGGGGUCUCCAGGAAGAACCUGGUGUUGAAGCCCCAGAGACUCACUUGCCCCUUUCUGCAGGUGUGGGAGAUCCCGGAUGGGGGCCUGGUGCUGCCCUUGCGGGAGCCUGUUGUCACCUUGGAGGGCCACACCAAGCGGGUUGGCAUCGUGGCCUGGCACCCCACAGCCCAGAAUGUACUGCUCAGCGCAGGUGCCAUAGGGUGAGGAGGGGAGGGCUAGGAGACUUGAUAGAGGGCAAAGGCUCAU
This 714-nucleotide long non-coding RNA is filed under the name Rattus norvegicus (Norway rat). RNAcentral's name for it is "long non-coding RNA NONRATT003174". The record is from RNAcentral. Lineage: Eukaryota; Metazoa; Chordata; Mammalia; Rodentia; Muridae.